GAUGAACGCUGCCCGCACGCCUAAUACAUGCAAGUCGAGCGAACCGGCGAGGAGCUUGCUCCUCUGACGUUAGCGCCCGACGGGUGCGUUACACCUGGAUAACCUACCUAUAACGCUGGGAUCACUUCGUCAAACCCGAGCUAAUACCUGAUAAUAUAUUCAACCGCUUUCUUCAAUCUUGGAACACGAUUUUGCUUUCCCUUCUAGAUAGCUCCGCGCCGCCUUAGCUAGUUUUUAAGAUAACGGGUUACCAAGGCGACGAUGCGUCGCCGACCUGAGAGGGUGAACGGCAAACCUGGAACGGAGACACGGUCCAGACGCCUACGGGAGGCAGCAGUAGGGAGUCUUCCGCAAUGGGCGAAAGCUUGACGGAGCAACGCCGCGUGAGUGAUGAAGGUCUUCGGAUCGUAAAACUCUGUUAUUAGGGAAGAACAAAUGUGUAAGUAACUAUGCACGUCUUGACGGUACCUAAUCAGAAAGCCACGGCUAACUACGUG
This 497-nucleotide ribosomal RNA is filed under the name uncultured bacterium. RNAcentral's name for it is "partial 16S ribosomal RNA". It matches the Rfam family "Bacterial small subunit ribosomal RNA", at positions 28 to 507 of the family's 1533-position model. The record is from RNAcentral.